UACGUAGGGGGCAAGCGUUGUCCGGAAUCAUUGGGCGUAAAGCGCGUGUAGGCGGCCAGAAAAGUCCGCUGUGAAAACUCGAGGCUCAACUUCGAGCUGUCGGUGGAAACUUUCUGGCUAGAGUCCGGAAGAGGAGAAUGGAAUUCCUGGUGUAGCGGUGAAAUGCGCGGAUAUCAGGAAGAACACCCGUGGCGAAGGCGGUUCUCUGGGACGGUACUGACGCUGAGACGCGAAAGCGUGGGGAGCGAACAGG
Molecule: ribosomal RNA, 253 nt
Filed under: uncultured bacterium
Lineage: Bacteria
Description: partial 16S ribosomal RNA
Rfam family: Bacterial small subunit ribosomal RNA
Source: RNAcentral